CUCCAAUCAAGUUGUAGAAACAUCUCAAGGUUGAUCAAUGGAAACAGGAUGCACCUGAGCAAAAUUUUGAGUCUCACAGCAACGGGUCUGAAUACUUUUGUAAAUAAGGUAUUUCUGCUUUUAUAAAUUUGCAAAAAUGUUUAAAACCUGUUUUUGCUUCGUCAUUAUGGGUGAUUGUGUGUAGAUUUAUGAGGGAAAAACAUAUUUAAUCCAUUUUAGAAUAAGGCUGUAAUGUAACAAAAUGUGAAAAAAGUACUGGGGUCUGAGAACUUUCCAAACACCAUGUAUGUACAGUUAACUGCCAAAAUAAAGGAAACACCAAGAUAAAGUGUCUUAAUAGGGGUAAUAGAGUGCCUUAAUAGGGGUUAAUAGGGGUUAAUAGGGUGUAUUAAUAGGGGUUAAUAGGGGCUAAUAGGGGUUAAUAGAGUGUAUUAAUAGGGGUUAAUAGAGUGUCUUAAUAGGGGUUAAUAGAGUGCCUUAAUAGGGGUUAAUAGGGGUUAAUAGGGUGCCUUAAUAGGGGUUAAUAGGGGUUAAUAGGGUGUAUUAAUAGGGGUUAAUAGAGUGCCUUAAUAGGGGUUAAUAGAGUGCCUUAAUAGGGGUUAAUAGAGUGUAUUAAUAGGGGUUAAUAGGGGCUAAUAGGGGUUAAUAGGGUGUAUUAAUAGGGGUUAAUAGAGUGUCUUAAUAGGGGUUAAUAGAGUGUAUUAAUAGGGGUUAAUAGAGUGUAUUAAUAGGGGUUAAUAGGGGUUAAUAGGGUGUAUUAAUAGGGGUUAAUAGGGGCUAAUAGGGGUUAAUAGGGUGUAUUAAUAGGGGUUAAUAGAGUGUCUUAAUAGGGGUUAAUAGAGUGUAUUAAUAGGGGUUAAUAGGGGUUAAUAGGGUGUAUUAAUAGGGGUUAAUAGGGGCUAAUAGGGGUUAAUAGGGUGUAUUAAUAGGGGUUAAUAGAGUGUCUUAAUAGGGGUUAAUAGAGUGUCUUAAUAGGGGUUAAUAGAGUGUAUUAAUAGGGGUUAAUAGGGGUUAAUAGGGUGUAUUAAUAGGGGUUAAUAGGGGCUAAUAGGGGUUAAUAGGGUGUAUUAAUAGGGGUUAAUAGAGUGUCUUAAUAGGGGUUAAUAGAGUGUCUUAAUAGGGGUUAAUAGAGUGUAUUAAUAGGGGUUAAUAGGGGUUAAUAGGGUGUAUUAAUAGGGGUUAAUAGAGUGUAUUAAUAGGGGUUAAUAGAGUGUCUUAAUAGGGGUUAAUAGAGUGUCUUAAUAGGGGUUAAUAGAGUGUAUUAAUAGGGGUUAAUAGGGAUUAAUAGGGUGUAUUAAUAGGGGUUAAUAGAGUGUAUUAAUAGGGGUUAAUAGAGUGUCUUAAUAGGGGUUAAU
This 1355-nucleotide long non-coding RNA is filed under the name Salmo salar (Atlantic salmon). RNAcentral describes it as "lncRNA (ENSSSAG00000090518.1)". The record is from RNAcentral. Lineage: Eukaryota; Metazoa; Chordata; Actinopteri; Salmoniformes; Salmonidae.